AUUGAACGCUGGCGGCAGGCUUAACACAUGCAAGUCGAGCGGGGUGAUGGUGCUUGCACUAUCACUUAGCGGCGGACGGGUGAGUAAUGCUUAGGAAUCUGCCUAUUAGUGGGGGACAACAUCUCGAAAGGGAUGCUAAUACCGCAUACGUCCUACGGGAGAAAGCAGGGGAUCACUUGUGACCUUGCGCUAAUAGAGGAGCCUAAGUCGGAUUAGCUAGUUGGUGGGGUAAAGGCCUACCAAGGCGACGAUCUGUAGCGGGUCUGAGAGGAUGAUCCGCCACACUGGGACUGAGACACGGCCCAGACUCCUACGGGAGGCAGCAGUGGGGAAUAUUGGACAAUGGGCGGGACCCUGAUCCAGCCAUGCCGCGUGUGUGAAGAAGGCCUUAUGGUUGUAAAGCACUUUAAGCGAGGAGGAGGCUCUUUUGGUUAAUACCCAAGAUGAGUGGACGUUACUCGCAGAAUAAGCACCGGCUAACUCUGUGCCAGCAGCCGCCGUAA
This 503-nucleotide ribosomal RNA is filed under the name uncultured bacterium. RNAcentral describes it as "partial 16S ribosomal RNA". It matches the Rfam family "Bacterial small subunit ribosomal RNA", at positions 30 to 523 of the family's 1533-position model. The record is from RNAcentral.